GCAACGGUGAAACUCAAAGGAAUUGACGGGGCCCGCACAAGCGGUGGAGCAUGUGGUUUAAUUCGAUGAUACGCGAGGAACCUUACCAGGGCUUAAAUGUAGUUUGACCGGUCUGGAAACAGACUUUCUCUUCGGAGCAGAUUACAAGGUGCUGCAUGGUUGUCGUCAGCUCGUGCCGUGAGGUGUUAGGUUAAGUCCUGCAACGAGCGCAACCCCUAUUCUUAGUUGCCAGCGGUUCGGCCGGGGACUCUAAGAAGACUGCCAGCGCAAGCUGAGAGGAAGGUGGGGAUGACGUCAAAUCAUCACGGCCCUUACGUCCUGGGCUACACACGUGCUACAAUGGUAGAGACAGAGGGCAGCCACCUGGUGACAGGGAGCGAAUCCUUAAACUCUAUCUCAGUUCGGAUCGAAGUCUGCAACUCGACUUCGUGAAGCUGGAAUCGCUAGUAAUCGCGCAUCAGCCAUGGCGCGGUGAAUACGUUCCCGGGCCUUGUACACACCGCCCGUCAAGCCAUGGAGCUGGGGGUACCUGAAGUCGGUAACCGUAAGGAGCUGCCUAGGGUAAAACUAGUAACUAGGGCU
This 582-nucleotide ribosomal RNA is filed under the name uncultured bacterium ECS46. RNAcentral describes it as "bacterial SSU rRNA". It matches the Rfam family "Bacterial small subunit ribosomal RNA", at positions 888 to 1482 of the family's 1533-position model. The record is from RNAcentral.